UGGGGAAUAUUCCGCAAUGGACGGAAGUCUGACGGAGCAACGCCGCGUGAGUGAUGAAGGUUUUCGGACUGUAAAGCUCUGUUGUUUAGGACGAAAGUGCCUGUUGCGAACAGUUACAGGUAUUGACGGUACUAAACGAGGAAGCCACGGCUAACUACGUGCCAGCGGCCGCGGUAAUACGUAGGUGGCAAGCGUUGCCCGGAAUUAUUGGGCGUAAAGAGCAUGUAGGCGGAGAUUUAAGUCUGUUGUGAAAAUGCGGGGCUCAACCCCGUAUUGCGAUGGAAACUGAAUUUCUUGAGUGCAGGAGAGGAAAGGGGAAUUCCCAGUGUAGCGGUGAAAUGCGUAGAUAUUGGGAGGAACACCAGUGGCGAAGGCGCCUUUCUAGACUGUGUCUGACGCUGAGAUGCGAAAGCCAGGGUAGCGAACGG
RNAcentral lists this ribosomal RNA (428 nucleotides) under uncultured bacterium. Its description in RNAcentral is "bacterial SSU rRNA". It matches the Rfam family "Bacterial small subunit ribosomal RNA", at positions 355 to 775 of the family's 1533-position model. The record is from RNAcentral.